UACUACGGCCAUACCACCCUGCAUAUGCCCAAUCUUGUCUGACUUUGGAAGCUGUGCAAGGUCAGGCCUGGUUAGUACUUGGAAAAGUAACAACAUUCCCAUCACCACAGGAGCUCAUCCUGCAGCAU
Molecule: ribosomal RNA, 128 nt
Filed under: Castor canadensis (American beaver)
Lineage: Eukaryota; Metazoa; Chordata; Mammalia; Rodentia; Castoridae
Source: RNAcentral